Suricata suricatta (meerkat) is the source of this 576-nucleotide long non-coding RNA. RefSeq lists it as uncharacterized. The transcript has 2 exons. NCBI's taxonomy places the organism in Eukaryota, Metazoa, Chordata, Mammalia, Carnivora, Herpestidae. The record is from RefSeq and is a predicted model, not a curated record.
UCUCUCUCUUUCUAAAAAAUAAACAUUAAAAAAAAAUAAAAAGGAUUUUAAAAGUUUCAUGUAUCUCUCAACUUGAGACUCACUGAAAACCAACAACGCCUCUAUCGGUUUUAGGGACACCGAUUCAAAAAAUUGUAUUUCUUUCCUGUUGCUGCCGUAACAGAUCCCUUCAAAUUUAGUGGCUUAAAACGAGAGAAAUUUAUUCUCACAGUUCUAGAGGCCAGAUGUUUGCUGGUUUACACUCUGUCCUUUCGUUGGCCUUUCCAGACUCUGGUGGCUGUUGGCAUCCCUUGCCUUGUGGCCACGUGGGCCCGCAGUCUGCCUCCAUGAUCUCAUUGCUGCCUCUUCUGUCUCUAAAGUCCCUCUGCCUUCGCUUCUAAAGACCCUUGUCAUGGGUUUAGGGUCCACUCAGAUACAAUAAAACGAUCCAACACAGAUACAGUAUUCUGAGAAAGUUCCCUGUGCCUGUACACACCUUUCCCAAGUAUGCCAUGAUUUGAUGUGUAACUUCAGAUUUCUUCUCAUUAAAUAAAUGGAAAUUGUGGGAAGGCUCCCCCAAUAAAUUAGCCUCUUGGA